CUUCUUCGUUAUUUUAGUGUUGAAUAUACACCUUUGAGUUUUAUCCUUUCUUUCUAUAUCCAGAGCUCAUUUUUCUUUCUGAUUUUGCUUUUAAUUUUCUAGCCUCUGCUGUGUUUAUCAUAUUCAUGCCUGAAUUCUCUAAGGACUUGGCUUUACCUAUAUGUCACCAUCUUAACAAAUGAUGCACGACAACAUGCGGAGGUAGCUUCUCUUUUCAUUAUUUUGGGAAGUCUAGAUGAAUAUGUUGUGGUGUAUUUGAUUAGUGAAUUAUUGUACCUGAAAUGUUGCCUAUGACGAGGAUGUGAAGGCUUAGCAUUUGUAUAUCCAAACAAAUAAUUUUGUUGCGCCUUUCCGGAAUCUAUAGUUUCAUGUCAAUGUGAUUUUUGCAAGAAAAUGCUCGAUGUAAAAUUUUGAAAAUGCGUAGGAUCUAAUGGGAAGAAGGUUUCUUAGUUUUGAUGGACCUUCAGCUCUUGUGUUCUCGAUGUGCCCUCUCAUAAAGAGAAUAUCACGUUUUUCUGAUGGAGGAAGAGGCUCAGUUGGACUGUUAAAGAAUGCGUUCAUCUUAUUUUUCAUUGUUCAGGAAAACAAAACAAAAUUGGUACUUUAUUUUUAGGAAAUUUUGCGAUAAAGAUUUUGAAAAUUCUACUUGAAAUGGAAAAAUGAGGAACUGGUUGCUUCCAUAAGUGUAAAGCAGUUUUCAUUCACAUUCUUAUAUAUGUAUGUGUGUGUAUGUCAUUAUAGAUGAUAAUAUCAUGUUGAAGAUAAUAUUAUGUAUGAGACUUGAUACCUGUGAACUUUCUCCACCAUUAUUACAAUAUAAUGACUAUCACAGUUGAACACUUUGAAAUGUCCACUUUUGUUAUCUCAAGUAGUUGAGUGCUUCCAGUUACUUCUUAAAGUUUAAAGCUAUCUAGGCUGAGACAAGGAUUUGAAAAUGACAUGGCUUAGUAGUUUUUCAAUUUUUUUGCAGUUACAAGUGUGGUUCACCUUUACCUUACAAACAAAUAAAUAAUUGUUCUUUCAUCUCUGGACCUCAGGUAAAUCCUAAACCAGACAACAUUUGUUCACCUAUUGUCUGGUUCCGAACUUCACUAUCACUUGAACAUCAAUGAGGGCUAUAAGUAAUAUAUUUGUGUGAAGCUCUGGGCCUUUAUAGACAGUUGCCAGCCCCAACAACAAAUAGACACACCGGCUGAAGCUCCGUAGGCUUUUCCUAAUAGCUUUUGUGUGGCUAUUUCUUGAGUCAUAGCAAGGAGAUUUCCCACUAUCAUGGAAAGAAUUUUUAGGUGUUUCACAAGAAGAAAUCAUUUACCGAGGUUCCACUGUUCUUGCCUUCCCUGGAUGCAAACAAGAAAUGAAAACAAGCAGAUGGGGUUAUUGAAGUUGGGAUUGAUGAGUUAGAAUUAAUUCUUUCAGGGAAUCACAUAUAAUAUCAAAUGUUUGCUAUUGCUUUUGCACUUACAUAUGUCGUGGCUGGUGAAAAUAAACUAAAUCAAGGCUUAGCUAACAAAUUAGCUAGAGCUGGUGGAGUAGCUCAAAGAGAAAGAGAACAUACCGAUAUCUUAAGGAAAUUAUUGAUGACACUUCCGGUCAAUAGAUGAGUGUUAUAUUUUUAUCUGUUGCGAGACCUUUGCAUUUGAAAUGUUGUAUUUGCACAUAGUAUUAUAGAUGAAUAAAUCAUGAAAAAUAUUGCUCCAACUGUUUUAUAAUUAUUAAGAAAAAGCUUGUGAUUUUCACUUAAUGGUUCAUUAUAUAUUAUAAUUAUGUUGUCCCUAAUUUCUUCUUCAAUAUGAGUUUGAUAUCUAUGACAAAUUAAUUAUUGUUAUGUAAUCAUGGAUUAACUAUUACUUUACAUCAAUUGCUUAUAUUCCAUGAUUUUGAAUUAAUAGGCUGGGAUUUUGAAAGCUCAUGCUCUUGAUUUAUGAUGAUUUACUUAUUCUUUCCAUCAUUGCAUUUUCCCGUUGAAGUCUCUUUGCCAAUAUGUUGCUUGAUAUUAUUUUAAGAUAAGCGUUCCCGAUGUCAAUUAUGUGCUCAUAGAUGUGGAGGAUGCUUCACAACUGUUGCUUCUUUAGCUUACAAGAAUCUUCACAUGAGGAGAUGAGAAUUGUGUGUCAAGUCUUACAUGUGGAAUAGGCAGGGAGGGUAAUGAUGCCUUUUUUUCUCCAUUGUGCAGUUGCAUGUCUCUUAUGAAACUAUUGAACAUACUUUUAGAUUGAGUUGGGUGAAUGUGCAACUCUCAAAAGACCUGUGUAACAUCCCGUAAACCUGAGUUAGGUGUGUAUGUGUAAAAACUAGUUUUAAGAUGAUAUUUUAGCUAUAUGAAUCCAUUCGGAAUGAAUUUGGGGGAUAAGCGGUUGUUUUGAAGUCAAACCAAAUAGUGAAGUUCGUAAGAUUUCUCAAGCUUGUCUAAAUUUCGGUAGGUCUGACUUCAAAGCUAGUUUUGUGAAAAUAUGUUGGGAUUUUGGGAAAACAUCCUGCAUGAAAGUUGUAGGUCUUCGAAACACCUUUCCAAUGGUAGGUCGUCCAGCUCCAACGGAGCUCUCUGUUAGGAGUUACGCCAAUUUUACUGAACAUCGUCUGUGCAGUGUAAAAAUUAGGCAUGCGGGCGGCGCCCCAGGACAAAUUUUUAGGAAACUCAAAAUUUUGACACCUUUAAAAUAGAUACACUGUGUGGUGCGCUCAGGGGACGCACCAGGCCAUUUUAUGCCUGAAGCGAUUUUUUCCGAAUUUUAUAAAAGCCUAACUUCGUUAUAUUCAGUCCCACUUCGUUUUGGCCGACUUUUUGAGAGGAAACAACCCUAGGGUUUCCCCAAAACAUAUAAGGUAAGUUCUUGAUCAAUUUUCAUCAUUACUUCAUCAAUCUAAUAUCAAAUUUACCUUAGUUCAUCUCUCCAAAUCCUAGAUUCUUGAAAACUCUAGAGAGGAGAAGAAGGGGCGUGUAGAACUUCGUUUAAAAGAUACGAACUUUGGUUUCCCUGAUUUAAUUAAUGACUUUUAGGCUAGUAUAGAUUAUACUACACGAUUGGAAUCCACUAAUGAUUCACAUGAGGUUCAAGAACACGUUUAUAGGCUUAGAAAAGCCCUAGUUUUUCGAAACAUAAAGAGAGUUCGUAGAAACGAAUAAAGCUUUAAUCUUUCUAGUAUAAAUCCAUUGUAGAUUGGUUAUUGAACCUUGGGAAUUCAGUUUUGCUAGCUUUUAGCGGGAUUUGAGGUAUGUCUCUUUUGAACAUACUCUUUCGAAUGGUUUUAUGAACUCUUUGGUUGUGGUUUGUGUGCGUAAGGGACAAGCCACAUUAAACCUUAUUCGUAGUAUAUUAUGUAUACGUAUUCACAAUUUUUUUUUUCCCUAAAGGAUGAUUGAAAGUUGAGAUAUACACUUGUAGUAUUCGAACUUGAAUUACCCCAUAAGGGAUGUUUAAACUUAAUAAUUGAAAAGCUUGACUAUCUCACGUGAAUGCUCCAUAAUGGGUUGUGUUGAACUUGAAACUUGUUUAAAUAAGUGAACCCGAUUUUCUAAAACUGAAAUGAUUUGAUGUAUCCCUAUAAUGGGAUGAUGAACAUAAUCCUUAACGAAUAAUGAGACUAUCAUGAUAUGACUUGUGAUUCGGCUCCCAUGCCAUGAUUUGAGAUUUGGCUUCUAUGCUAUCAUUGUAGUUCGAUUUCUUUACUAUGAUUCUCUAUUGUUUGUGUUUGGCCUAGCUACUCGGGAGGAAGGGUAGUCACUAUAGAUCCUAGUGGGGUUUUCCUAGCCAUUCGGGAGAAAAAGUGACCAUCGAGGGUCGAUAGCCCUGGUGUGGUUCAUGCCUAGCCAUUCGGGAGGAAGAGGGUUCAUCAAGGGUUCAUAACCCUGAUGUGAUUUUGCCUAGCUAUUCGGGAGGAAAGAUAGCCUUCGAGGGUGACAACCCCGAUGUGGUGCUACUAAGCUGGUUUAGGGAACCUUAAACCUUCGUUAUAUUGAUUUGGGCUUGUAUUGGCAUGUGUUACUUUGAUUUGUUGUGAGUGGCUUGAUGAUAAUGAACUCGUUCGCCUGUGACUGGUUUGUUGAUGAUAUUGAUCUCGAGUUGAAAAGGCUCAAAUGGUAACGAAGAUGAGGAGGUACAGACAGAUCUCGCGGAUUAGGAGUACUUGCUGCCUUCCAGACUUUUGAAACGAUUAGAUGUUUAUUGAUUCAUAAGGUGCUUCCGGUGUUAUCCAUAGCAUUGGAUGCCUGUUACGCCUAGGGUGGGUUUUGGGGCGUGACAACCUACUUUGCGACUGGGAGGAACGCAAGUAAAUAAAG
Lycium ferocissimum is the source of this 4279-nucleotide long non-coding RNA. RefSeq lists it as uncharacterized. The record is from RefSeq and is a predicted model, not a curated record. NCBI's taxonomy places the organism in Eukaryota, Viridiplantae, Streptophyta, Magnoliopsida, Solanales, Solanaceae. The transcript has 5 exons.